UUAUUUAAUCAGUUUACUAUCAAUAAACCAUGUGUUAGGUUCUCGUUGCGGGAGAUCUUGGAACGUGCCCGUCGUGUGAAUGCGCAUACAAAUAGGGUCACUAUUCGCCUACUACUAAUAAGGGCGGAGAGUAUAUUCUAGAUUAUAUCAGUCGGGUAGGCUGGACUGGGGUUCUGGGAAAAUCUCUACGAAUUCUUCUUUGCAAGAGACAUCCCUGGGUUUAGUGAUGUCUCCGGCAGCCUUGCUGGGAUCUCCAGAUCGAAUAAUUGGUUUACAAGACGCUCUUAGGGGGUCUUGUCUUCUCAGAUUCUAGCUUUUUACUCUACUUCGAUGGCAGUGGAAAGGGUAUUCGCCAACGAUACCCUAUUUCUCCUUCUGCUCUUCUGUAUUGUAUUGCGAUGGAAGGCUUCUCCAUUCUUAUUCAAGAGAGGCAAUUCAAAUUGUUUUAGAAAGCUCCCCUGGGAUCGAAAUCCGAUCUCUCACUUCCGACGAUCUAAUUUUCUUUGCUGAAGCUAGUCUACAUUCAGCCCUUGGAAUUUCA
This 541-nucleotide long non-coding RNA is filed under the name Gossypium barbadense (sea-island cotton). RNAcentral describes it as "long non-coding RNA (GBAR_LNC019128)". Lineage: Eukaryota; Viridiplantae; Streptophyta; Magnoliopsida; Malvales; Malvaceae. The record is from RNAcentral.